GGGGUUGUGGCUCAGUGGUGGAGUGUUCGCCUAGCACGUGUGAGGCCCUGGGUUCAAUCCUCAGCACCACA
RNAcentral lists this transfer RNA (71 nucleotides) under Marmota monax (woodchuck). RNAcentral describes it as "tRNA.Ala". It matches the Rfam family "tRNA". From Rfam's summary of the family: Transfer RNA (tRNA) molecules are approximately 80 nucleotides in length. Their secondary structure includes four short double-helical elements and three loops (D, anti-codon, and T loops). Lineage: Eukaryota; Metazoa; Chordata; Mammalia; Rodentia; Sciuridae. The record is from RNAcentral.